This 558-nucleotide small RNA is filed under the name Pan troglodytes (chimpanzee). Its description in RNAcentral is "retained intron". The record is from RNAcentral. Lineage: Eukaryota; Metazoa; Chordata; Mammalia; Primates; Hominidae.
GUACCAGGAAGCGCUGGGGGGCAGAGGAGCGGAGUUGAGGCAGAAGCCAGUCAGGAUGGUGGUGCCUUCGCUGAAGCUUCAGGACCUCAUCGAAGAGAUUCGCGGGGCCAAGACUCAGGCCCAGGAGCGGGAGGUGAUCCAAAAGGAGUGUGCCCACAUCCGGGCCUCCUUCCGCGACGGGGACCCAGUGCACAGGCACCGGCAGCUGGCCAAACUGCUCUACGUCCACAUGUUGGGCUACCCCGCCCACUUUGGACAGGUACUGGCCAGGAAUACCUCCCUCCUGAGCUUGAUGAAGGCUAGUGGGGCAGAGUCCCAGACUCUCUCACCUGUUUAUGCCCUGGUUUUUUAAAUUCUACAAUUUCAGAGUCUUCACAGCCUGCACUGCAAACCUCUUUCCCCAUUGCUACCCCUACUGGGCAUCAGCUGGCCUGAACCCUUCAUUCUCUGGCCAGCCUCCUUUAGGGCAGGCACCUCCUCCUCUCCGCUCCCAUCCUCCUCAACUCCUAGUUCCUCCUACCCACUAACGCCUGAAUUUCCUAAGCUCCUCUUGUUGAA